GACGAACGCUGGCGGCGUGCCUAAUACAUGCAAGUCGAACGCUUCUUUCCUCCCGAGUGCUUGCACUCAAUUGGAAAGAGGAGUGGCGGACGGGUGAGUAACACGUGGGUAACCUACCCAUCAGAGGGGGAUAACACUUGGAAACAGGUGCUAAUACCGCAUAACAGUUUAUGCCGCAUGGCAUAAGAGUGAAAGGCGCUUUCGGGUGUCGCUGAUGGAUGGACCCGCGGUGCAUUAGCUAGUUGGUGAGGUAACGGCUCACCAAGGCCACGAUGCAUAGCCGACCUGAGAGGGUGAUCGGCCACACUGGGACUGAGACACGGCCCAGACUCCUACGGGAGGCAGCAGUAGGGAAUCUUCGGCAAUGGACGAAAGUCUGACCGAGCAACGCCGCGAGAGUGAAGAAGGUUUUCGGAUCGUAAAACUCUGUUGUUAGAGAAGAACAAGGACGUUAGUAACUGAACGUCCCCUGACGGUAUCUAACCAGAAAGCCACGGCUAACUACGUGCCAGCAGCCGCGGUAA
RNAcentral lists this ribosomal RNA (524 nucleotides) under uncultured Enterococcaceae bacterium. Its description in RNAcentral is "bacterial SSU rRNA". It matches the Rfam family "Bacterial small subunit ribosomal RNA", at positions 28 to 523 of the family's 1533-position model. The record is from RNAcentral. Lineage: Bacteria; Bacillati; Bacillota; Bacilli; Lactobacillales; Enterococcaceae.